GGUUGGUCCGAGAGUAGUGGUGU
Molecule: non-coding RNA, 23 nt
Filed under: Cricetulus griseus (Chinese hamster)
Lineage: Eukaryota; Metazoa; Chordata; Mammalia; Rodentia; Cricetidae
Also listed under: 1 other name
Source: RNAcentral